UAGGAUACAUUGUGGAAAACAACAACAACAACAAAACCCACAACAAAUAUUCCAGAAUUUCCUGAUGCUACCUGCAGGUCUGUUCUGCAUGGAGUGCUCUCCCAGCGGUCUUGGGGCAGGUCCCAAAGGUUAUGGCAUCAUCUGGAACUGGCUGGAAUCUUGUCUGGAUCUUCUCCUGCUCUGCUCCUGGGGAGGUUGUAGCACAGUAGUUAUGUUUAAGGGAAAGGAUGGUUUUAACUUUGAAAUGAUAAAUAUGUCCUUGACCCUAUCCUAGUUUCCAAUUAUGCUCAUUUUACAAAAUCACUGCUUUCAGAGGGAAGGCACUGACUGAGAAGACUCGGCUUUCUCACGUGCAGUGGGAACUAAGACUAGGGGCUCCAUUAGCAGCUUCUUCUAUUUACUGCAUUAGAUAUUUACAGUAUUUUAUCCCUUGGUAUUCCACAGAUAGCUAGCUCAGAUGAAGUUGCUUUUGUUUAAAAUUUAUAGCUUUGAUAUCUGACAAGAAAUGGGCACUUCAGUUCCUUUCCUUCUUUCUUGAUUGCUGCAGGAAAUUUACUAUUUCUUUUCCCUGUCAGGCAGCACAGAGAGAAUACAAUUCCCACUGCUGCAUUCAUCUGCAUUCAUCACAAGCAUUCAUGUAUAUCUCUAAGCACCACUGAUGAAUUACAUAACAGUACAGUGUAAUUUCAUAACAGUUUAUUAUAUACCAUACAGAAUUUUUCCAAUGGCUAUAGGGCGAAAAGUAGCUGAGAAGCAUAUCCAGAUCCUAAUCUCGUCUUUACUAGACAUAAAAGCUGUUUGACAUAUUGGCUCUCUUUCUGGUUUAGAAUUGGAAAUGAAGAGGCCUUUCCUUUGUCAUCUGCUCAUAAAACACUGCAAGGUAUUGUGUAAAGUUGAGAUUGUAGUGGGAACUGUUCAAAGACCUGGAAUGACUACUGAAGUAAUUAUUGUUGGUUGUGUAAAAAUAUACUUUGUACAGCUUCAAAAAUGUAAUGAAGCUGCUGAACUUUUAAAAUUCUGCUGUGUCUUUAAUUCCUUUCCUUUGUAGCUGGAUAAAAAAAAAAAAGAAAGAAACGGUUACAGUAAGUGCUGUAGUUCUUAUUCUUUCAACAGAAGGAUGGGAUUAUUUCAACUUUUGUAUUAAAAAACCCUCACACAUUAAAUGAAUUGCAUUAAAGUGACAUAUUAAUAA
This is a long non-coding RNA of Phasianus colchicus (ring-necked pheasant), 1192 nucleotides long. RefSeq lists it as uncharacterized. The record is from RefSeq and is a predicted model, not a curated record. NCBI's taxonomy places the organism in Eukaryota, Metazoa, Chordata, Aves, Galliformes, Phasianidae.